Mauremys reevesii (Reeves's turtle) is the source of this 349-nucleotide long non-coding RNA. RefSeq lists it as uncharacterized. The record is from RefSeq and is a predicted model, not a curated record. The transcript has 3 exons. Lineage: Eukaryota; Metazoa; Chordata; Testudines; Geoemydidae.
AGGGAUGCUUUCACACCAGUGCACGCCAAUGACUUGGAAAGCAGCACCAGUGUGAGGUGGAAGGCCUUCUGGCAGAUUUCAUGGGAUAUACAGAACUCCCAGAGGACUUCCCGGCAAGGGGCCAAGGACCUCGUCCCGCCUUGCCUGUUGAUGUAGAACAUUGCAGCGGUGUUGUACUUCCUUGCCAUCAAAGGGAAGAUCCUGCAUCCCAGACUGUGCCUCCACGGAGAGCCCGGACAGCAGUAGCCACGAUGCCCUGCACAUGGACACCGCCGAGGCCAUGGACCGAGCAGCCAUGUCGGCUGCAUCCAACGCUGCCAGCAGAGCAGCCUUUGUGGCAGUGGCACCC